This 507-nucleotide ribosomal RNA is filed under the name uncultured bacterium. RNAcentral describes it as "bacterial SSU rRNA". It matches the Rfam family "Bacterial small subunit ribosomal RNA", at positions 28 to 532 of the family's 1533-position model. The record is from RNAcentral.
GAUGAACGCUAGCGGCAGGCUUAAUACAUGCAAGUCGAGCGGUAAGGCCCUUUCGGGGGUACACGAGCGGCGUACGGGUGCGUAACACGUAUGCAACCUGCCUUCAACAGGGGGAUAGCCCGGGGAAACCCGGAUUAAUACCCCAUAAAACAGGGAACCCGCAUGGGUAUAUUGUUAAAGGCUUCGGCCGGUUGAAGAUGGGCAUGCGGCUGAUUAGCUAGUUGGUAGGGUAACGGCCUACCAAGGCGACGAUCAGUAACUGGUCUGAGAGGAUGACCAGUCACACGGGCACUGAGACACGGGCCCGACUCCUACGGGAGGCAGCAGUAGGGAAUAUUGGACAAUGGGCGAAAGCCUGAUCCAGCCAUGCCGCGUGCAGGAUGAAGGCCCUCUGGGUUGUAAACUGCUUUUAUCAGAGGAAAAUUCUUUGGAUUCUUCCGAAGUUGAUGGUAUCUGAUGAAUAAGCACCGGCUAACUCCGUGCCAGCAGCCGCGGUAAAGUCUAGCA